This 570-nucleotide ribosomal RNA is filed under the name uncultured bacterium. RNAcentral describes it as "bacterial SSU rRNA". It matches the Rfam family "Bacterial small subunit ribosomal RNA", at positions 270 to 837 of the family's 1533-position model. The record is from RNAcentral.
GUGGCGACGAUGCGUAGGGGUUCUGAGAGGAAGGUCCCCCACACUGGUACUGAGACACGGACCAGACUCCUACGGGAGGCAGCAGUGAGGAAUAUUGGUCAAUGGGAGAGAUCCUGAACCAGCCAAGCCGCGUGAGGGAAGACGGCCCUAUGGGUUGUAAACCUCUUUUGUCGGAGAACAAAACCCGGGACGUGUCCCGGACUGCGUGUAUCCGAAGAAAAAGCAUCGGCUAACUCCGUGCCAGCAGCCGCGGUAAUACGGAGGAUGCGAGCGUUAUCCGGAUUUAUUGGGUUUAAAGGGUGCGUAGGCGGUCUGUUAAGUCAGCGGUAAAAUUGCGGGGCUCAACCCCGUCGAGCCGUUGAAACUGGCAGACUUGAGUUGGCGAGAAGUACGCGGAAUGCGCGGUGUAGCGGUGAAAUGCAUAGAUAUCGCGCAGAACUCCGAUUGCGAAGGCAGCGUACCGGCGCCAGACUGACGCUGAGGCACGAAAGCGUGGGGAUCGAACAGGAUUAGAUACCCUGGUAGUCCACGCAGUAAACGAUGAAUGCUGGUUGUCCGGGUCGAAUGAGA